CCUACGUGUGGCAGCAGUGAGGAAUAUUGGUCAAUGGCCGGAAGGCUGAACCAGCCAUGCCGCGUGAAUGUCAGUGCCCUAUGGGCGUUAAACUUCUUUUGUGCGGGAGCAAUAAUGGUCACGUGUGGCAAGACGAGAGUACCGUACGAAUAAGCAUCGGCUAACUCCGGGCCAGCAGCCGCGGUAAUACGGGGGAUGCAAGCGUUAUCCGUAUGUAGUGGGUUGAAAGGGAGCGUAGAUGGGUUGUUAAGUCAGUUGUGAAAGUUUGCGGCUCAACCGUAAAAUUGCAAUUGAUACUGGCAGUCUUGAGUACAGUUGAGGCAAGCGGAAGUCGUGGUGUAGCGGUGAAAUGCUUAGAUAUCACGAAGAACCCCGAUUGCGAAGGCAGCUUACUAAACUGUGACUGACAUUGAUGCUCGAAAGUGUGGGUAUCAAACAGGAUUAGAUACCCCAGUAGUC
This 459-nucleotide ribosomal RNA is filed under the name uncultured bacterium. Its description in RNAcentral is "partial 16S ribosomal RNA". It matches the Rfam family "Bacterial small subunit ribosomal RNA", at positions 338 to 795 of the family's 1533-position model. The record is from RNAcentral.